UAGUAAGUUUGUGUUGCCUGUGAUGCUCGUAAGAUAAUUCCUUCCUGUGGCAGAGCUAAUGCAUCUUCACCUGCUAUAUGUUUAGGUUCUCAAGCAUUCUUAGGCAAAUGUGAAAAUCGACACCAUAAACACACAUUCAUUCAAUGUCUACAGGUGCUUAUAGUGAAUGUGAAGUUUUGUUUUUCACAUUUACUGUGCUAAAUGAAGUACAGUAACAUGCAGCUAGCCUGGUGGAAGCGUCAGCGGCGACAAACCACAGCAUGCCCGAGCAAACCUUCCCUGUCGCAGCGCUCGUUGAAGAUUCCCACGAUCACUAAAAGAAGCUGAAAUGAAGAACAUUCCACUGGUGGACUUGUUGGACAGCAAAUAAAAGAGAGCAGAAGAAUAAACAAUUACGGAUCUCCAACAAAACUUAAUGAGUCACUAUUGAUGUUGAGGACCCCGUGAAUAACAGCUUCUCGUCGCGCUUAUGCUGUAUCCGUGACUCCUCUUACGACGAAAAAAUCGGGCGGAACCUUUUUAGACCGUAGAAAGCACGCCUGCAAACGAUGAUUCCGAAAGCACGUGUGAAAAGAAAAGGUACGUCGAAAACUGGCGCUGUUAUUCAUCUGCUUAAUCUGUGCGAUGUUGCUGUCCUUGAUGAAAAUGGCGGUGUUCCAUGAAAUGGCGGCCUCACGCAAAAUGGCUGGCUUACCCAACGAUCGCAAGACGACUAGCUAUCGGCGGAUUUCGACUUGACUGUAGCUGGUCAUAACGAAGUCAAUUCUAAAUGGGUGUUUGAUACCGUAGCUGCUUCUAGAAAGAGAACUACUCGACGAUACAUUUAUAUUAGUAAUUACAUGGCGUUGUAUUAAUGCUAUAUAAUUUGAAAAUCUCUAGCGAUCCGAAUUUGUUUUUAUAUACACAUAAAUUGAAACAAUGUCAAACUGUAUGAUUUGUAUUUUUUUUAAUAACAUAAAUGG
Molecule: long non-coding RNA, 962 nt
Organism: Hyposmocoma kahamanoa
Lineage: Eukaryota; Metazoa; Arthropoda; Insecta; Lepidoptera; Cosmopterigidae
Exons: 5
Source: RefSeq, a predicted model, not a curated record